RNAcentral lists this long non-coding RNA (3353 nucleotides) under Equus asinus (donkey). RNAcentral describes it as "lncRNA (ENSEASG00005032309.1)". Lineage: Eukaryota; Metazoa; Chordata; Mammalia; Perissodactyla; Equidae. The record is from RNAcentral.
CAACGGCCCAAGCCCAGCUGGCCUCUCUGGCUUCGGGCCUUCCCUCGCCCGGUUCUAGGCGGUCGGCACCAAACAGGCCCCGCCGGGGGUGCACACCGCCCGGGACUGCGGGGCUCGCUCGGCCUCGGCCCGCGGGGAGCUUCGGCGACCAGGCCUGCCAGCCGCCAUCCCUGCCCCGUUGGGUCCACGGGGGCAGAACCUGCUCAAAGCCAGGGGCUGGAGCAACCCUGACCCACCAUGGCGGGCAGGCGGCUUGCAGGGAGCGCCAGAGACCAACAAUUGUCAGCAUAGCAACACCGGGCCUUUCUCUUCUAGUUGAGCCCUGCAGCUGUCUACGCGGCUGUCUGUGAGUGAUCUCCCAGGGACAAGGACAAGAGAUGCAUUUCAGUGGAACUUCUCCAGGCCAGUGUGCUGACUUCUGACCAGCCUCAUCUGAAAGCACACCCUUUACAGACACAGACACCCUGAGGUACUGGGCCUCCAGCUUGCUCUAGGAGGACAGAGGACGACGGGUUAAGUUUGUUUGACAUAACUAGAAGGGGCUGUGCCUCUUCCCAGAAGAGCAAGGCCCAUUCAUGGCGAUUAGCAAGGCCCACCACUUCUAGCUGGCUUUUGCUUAUAGCAGCUGAGACACUGUUUCUUUCAGUAGAGGGAAAUCAAUGGGCUGGUGAUCCAACACUUCGGACUCCAAAGAAACCAGGACAGGUGACAAAGGUGCCCCAGGGUGAGACUCCUGCUUGCUGUGCCCAUGCCGGAGCUACGUCUUCUCUGAAAGCCAGCAGCAAAAGUGCUGACAUUUCGAUAUUUCCUUGUUGGUGUUCACUACUCCACAUCAAAGGGGGAACUCUGUCUGGGCAGGCCCCAGGCAUUCUGAGUGAAGAUGAGAGCAGAAGUGUCUAAAAGUGUAUGGUGGUGUCCCAUGAGACUGCAACAGAUGUGCUCUGACUGAGAUCACCCCAGCUGCUCUGAAUAAUGGUAGGAACAGAAAUAUCCAGAGCACAGGUAUGGAGCUGCCUUCUCCCAUUGUACCCCCCAGGUUCUGGACUGUGCCCAGGUGCUCUGACAGCAGCAUUUCCAAUCGCAGACAUGGUGCUAGCCUCUCAGACCGCGGCAGAUGUGCUUUGGCCAGGUGAACAGUAGGUGUCUGAUGGGAGGCAGGAACGGAAGUAUCUCCUGGCAUACCUUUUCUUCUCAGUGGCGCAGGUUUUACCAUAGUAACAGGUUUCCUCUGAGUAGGUGGGCCCCAAGUGCUCAGACCAGAUACAGGAAGACUCCAAAUGCAGUUGUGGUGUUGGCCCUUCCCGUCACAAAACACGUGCUCUCUUUAGCUAGGACCCAGGAGCUCUGACUGUAGGUAGGAACACAAAGGCCUCCAAGCACAGGUGAGAUGCUGGCUCCUUCAACUGCCACAAACUGUAGGCACAAAAAGAAGUAUCUCCAGCAUGGGGAUGGUGCUGUCCUCUUAAUUGAAACAGAUGUUCUCUGGCUGGACAGGUCCCAGGUGAUCACAAGGAGGAACAGAGUAUACAGCACAUGUUCCUUCUCAGUGAUGCUGUUUCCUCCAGUGGUAGUAGGUAUGUUUUGGCUGGACUGGCUCUAGGUUCUCUCAUUAUAUGUGGGAAGGAAAGUGUUUCCUAGGACAGAUUUGCUCUCAGUAAUGCUGGCUCUCCGAUUUUAACAGGGAUACAAAAGGUUGACAGGACCCUGGUGCUCAGGUCUGAGUCUCCCCCAACAUGAGCCAUGGUUCUGGGUGUCCCACUUGUCCUUGCUCCAAAGCUGAGUGUUCAAGACAUGGUGCUGGGGCCUCAGACAUACACAAUGACCUCAAAGCUGCCACUACCCGUAAGGGCUGAAAAUCUCAUAAAUCCAAAUGGGUCUGGUGUGGUGUUGGCAAAAGAUGAGCAGGAGUCCUCAGUGCUAUGCCUGCUGGUGGAUGAGCCAAUAGGGAAACAGCUGAAGUGCCACCAAAGGCUGCCUGGGUGCUGACAGUGAUGCCAAAGUUGGAAGAUGGGAAUGUCAAACUCCCAAAAGGUGACUGAGUUGUGCUCCUAUUGGGUUCCAUGGCUGCAGGAUAGGUUAAGUGUGGAGAUUUUGCUUGGGCUGCCAGGUUUCCCAAAGGGAAAGAGUUGUCAAAGCUGUCAAGAGGAGGCAGGAAGAUAACAGACUAGGAAUUGAACAUGGUACCCACCUAGAUUUCACUGGAGUCAAAGGCAGGCUUGGAUGCCGAGUCUGAAGAGGGGCUGGUUAUUGGAGUGAGGUGACUGCAGAAUCAGUGGUCGCUGGGCCAGAAAUGACAGUGGCAUGGGGGAGAGUGUCUCCCUAUCGCUGCCAACAUAGGCUCCUGAAUUUCAGCUGAAGGGUGGUUCCUGCCCCAAAGGGAAGGUUGAAAGUUCAGGUACAGCUGCUGACCAUAAAAGCAGGUGGGCUGGUGACAACUGCGACCUUUGCGGGGGAUAUCUGCUGCACGUUGCGGGUGCUUGGUCAAAUGGGAGGGAGCUCACGUGGGAUCCUGGUGGAGACCUGAAGAUGGAAGCCCGGGAAGGCAGGGCGGUGUUGAUAUCAGUUGUAGCAAAGUCCACAGCACCCCAGGAGGUCCAAUCUGAAGAUGGGCAGACUGGGAUGGUGGAAGUGAUUGCAGAGGCAGUGAUGGGCUGGCUGGUGAAGAUAGGGAUACUGGUGAAAGGGACUUGAGGAGUCUGUGAGAAAAAGGGAGGAAAAUCCACAUACACAGGUGUAGGUGACUCAAUUCUACAGUAGGUAGGCUGUAAGGGGAGGGAUGGGUGCUGGGAGGUUAAGAGAAGUAGAAGAUCCUGCAGCGGUGACCAAGGGACUGGAAUGCAAAGGGCCUCUCUUCUCAUUAUUAAGGGGAGCUCCCAAUAUGGGUUGGAAUCUAAAGUGACAAACAGCAGGAAUAGCAAAAGAAGGAGAGUUAGAGAUUGCACUUCUCAUCUUAUGAUCAGCAUCUGGUGUGGGGGAUGGAUGGGUACAGGGGCAGACAGGAUUGGUGGCCCAACAGACGGGUCAGGCAAAUCAGUGACUGCUAAUUUGAUAGCAUCCAGAAUCUGCAAGGGGGAAGUGGCCAAUGGCAAUGUAACUGCAGUCCCCAAAACAAACAGGGAGAAAAAACAGGCAGGCUGGGCGGAACUGAUGUUGGAAGUGCCUCAGUUUUCUCCUCCAACCUUGUGGUUCCAUUGGCUCAGUGUUCUUCUCCAAGCCGAGGUCUCCAGCAAUGACCAUAUAAGAAAGAUGGGAGGUGGGGGCAGCUCACCUUGACCCCACAACAGUGGCAGUGGCAGCAGUAGUGGCAGCAAUAGUGGCAUUGAAAAUUUCCAUUUACAGAGCCUGCAACUGAC